GCUAACGCGCGGAGGCAGGUUCCCGCCUGCGGGCUCCGUCGCGGUGGCUGCGGCAUGGGACUCGGGGCGGGGCGGCAGUACGGGACGCGGGGCACGGGGGAGGGUCAGUGCGGAACGGGGGUGGGCAGCAUGGCGCGCGCACGCGGGAGACGGAAGCGCGGCGGCUCUUCGGCCGUUGUCAAGCGAUGAGGCGCGUCUCCCCAUUGCACAGAGGGGGCAACUGAGGCGAACGCAGGCCUCAAGGUCGCGCCGCCAGUCAAGGUCGACUGGGGUCCCGCGCCCGGACCCUACGCCUCCGCGAGCGGAAAUGGGGAUGGCGCGUCCCCGAGACCUAGGAGCAGCCUUGCGUCCGCAUUCCGCGCGGGCAAACACCACGUCGCGUCCUACCAGGCAAUGUCAGGAAGGAGGUUGCCUUUGAGCAUCGCUGUUUUCUCUAACGAGGCCGGGUGCGGUGGAUCACGCCUGUAAUUCCAGCACUUUGGGAGGCCGAGGCGGGAGGAUCACCUGAGGUCAGGAGUUCAAGACCAGCCUGGACAACAUGGUGAAACCCCAUCUCUACGAAAAAUACAAAAUUAGCUGGGCAUGGUGGUGCGCACCUGUAGUCCCAGCUACCCCCUCGGGAGGCUGAGGCAGGAGAAUCGCUGGAACCCAGGAGGUGGAGGUUGCAGCGAGCAGAGAUGGCGCCACUGCACUCCAGCCUGAGAGACAGAGACUCCGUCUCAAAUAAAUAAACAAAAAUAUAAAAUAAAAUGCACUUAUGUGACUGGUGUUUUGUUAAGAAAACCUUACAAGGGAAUUCAUAUAUCCUGGGCUGUCACUUAAGUUGCAAUAUUAAGGAUAUUAUUUAAUGUUUCUUUUUGUUUUUUUGAGACAAGGUCUCACUCUCACCUAGGCUGGAAGUGCAGUGGUGUGUUAUCGGCUCACUGCAACCUCCCCUUCCCGUGCUCGAGCAAGCGUCCCACCUUAGCCUCCCAAGUAGCUGGGACUACAGGCAUGCACCCACACCCAGCUCAUUUUGUGUGUGUGUGUUUUGUAAAGAUGGGGUUUCGCCACAUCGCCCAGGCUGGUCUCAAACUCCUGGACUCAAGCGAUCCACCCGCCUCAGCCUCCCAAAAGUGCUGGGAUUAUAGGCGUGAGCUGCUGCACCUGGACGUUGUUUAAUGUUUCUAAAACUCAGUUUCUUCAUCUGCACAACCAGGAUAGGGUUGUGGUGAGACAAAAAUGAUAAUUCAUCUGAUAGAUGAAGUACAGUUUCUGGCCUCUUGCCAUUGUUAAUAACCAUGAGCCAACGUGUUAGGAAUUUAUUUAUUUGAGAUAGGGUCUCACUCUGUUGGUUAGUCUGGAGUGCAGUGGUGCAAUCCUAGCUCACUGUAACCUCGAACUCUUGGACUGAAGCAUUCCUCCCUCCUCAACCUCCCAAAUGUCUGGGACUAAAGGCACAAGCCACUGUGCCAGCUAAUUUAAAUUUUUUUAACAGAAACUGGUUCUGGCUGUGUUAUCAGGGCUGGUCUCAAACUCCAGGGCUUAAAGGAUUCUCCCACCUUGGCCUCCCAAAGUUCUAGCAUUACAGGUGAACCGCCAUGCUCAGCCUGUGUUGGAAAUUUAGACUAUGUUGUUUUGUUCUCAUCACCAUCCCAUUAUCCCCAUUUUACAGAUGCGUAAAGUAAAGCUCUGGCUUCUUGUUCAGAGUAAUCGCUUAUGAGUGUUAGCAAAGCCAAACUGGAAACUGCUUUUUUCCCCCCCACUCCACAUCACUUCUUGCUUUGUGAUCUUAAGAAAGCCACUUGUCCUCAUCUGACACUGAAAAAAAAUGCCCAAGGCCUUCAGGCAUAAAUUCUUACCAUUUCUCUCUCCAUCCUAAAACGUAGAGCAGUUAGGAACUCCUCCAAAGAAGUAAAUGAAUGAGGCCGGGUGAGGUGGCUCAUGCCUGUAAUCCUAGCACUUUGGGAGGCAGAGGCGGGUGGAUAAUUUGAGGUCAGGAGUUCAAGACCAGCUUGGACAACAUAGUGAAACCCUAUCUCUACUAAAAAUACAAAAAUUAACUGGGCAGGGCUGGGCAUGGUGGCUCACACUGUAAUUGCAGCACUUCGGGAGGCCGAGGUAAGUGGGUCACUUGAGGCCAGGAGUUCAAGACUAGCCUGGCCAACACAGGGAAAACCCAUCUCUACUAAAAAGUACAAAAAUUAGGGCUGGGCACAGUGGCUCACGCCUGUAAUCCCAGCACUUUGGGAGACUGAGGUGAGUGGAUCAUGAGGUCAGGAGUUCAAGACCAGCCUGACAAAUAUGGUGAAACCCCGUCUCUACUAAAAAUACAAAAGUUAGCCGGGCAUGGUGGUGCGCAUCUGUAAUCCCAGCUACUCAGGAAGCUGAGGCAGGAGAAUCACUUAAGCUUGGGAGACGGAGGUUGCAGUGAGCUGAGAUCACACCACUGCACUCCAGUCUGGGGGAUGGGGUGAGAUUCCAUCUCAAAAAAAAAAAAGUAAAUGAAUGCAUGAAUGAAUAAUAAAUAGGCUGGGCGUGGUGGCUCACGCCUGUAAUGCCAGUGCUUUGGGAGGCCAAGGCAGGAGGAUCGGUUGAGCCCAGGAGUUCAACACCAGCCUGGGCAACAGAGGGAAACCCUGCUUCUACAAAAAAAUAUGUAUUUUCUUUUAUUUUUUAUUUUUAUUUGUUUGAGACAGAGUUUCGCUCUUGACGGAGUGCAAUGGCUUGAUCUCGGCUCACUGCAACCUCCGCCUCCUGGGUUCAAGCAAUUCUCCUGCCUCAGCCUUACAAGUAGCUGGGAUUACAGGCAUGCGCCAUCACUCCCGGCUAAUUUUGUAUUUUUAGUAGAGAUGGGGUUUCUCGUGUUGGUCAGGCUGGUCUUAAGCUCC
This 2870-nucleotide long non-coding RNA is filed under the name Homo sapiens (human). RNAcentral's name for it is "non-protein coding lnc-H2AFV-4:2". Lineage: Eukaryota; Metazoa; Chordata; Mammalia; Primates; Hominidae. The record is from RNAcentral.